CGGGGUGUGGCGUAGCCAGGUAGCGCGUUCCGAUGGACCAUCGGAAAGGUCGUAGGUUCAAAUCCUACCAUCCCGACUA
This 79-nucleotide transfer RNA is filed under the name bacterium (Candidatus Howlettbacteria) CG_4_10_14_0_8_um_filter_40_9. RNAcentral's name for it is "tRNA-OTHER". It matches the Rfam family "tRNA". Rfam says of the family: Transfer RNA (tRNA) molecules are approximately 80 nucleotides in length. Their secondary structure includes four short double-helical elements and three loops (D, anti-codon, and T loops). The record is from RNAcentral.